Molecule: ribosomal RNA, 253 nt
Filed under: uncultured bacterium
Lineage: Bacteria
Description: partial 16S ribosomal RNA
Rfam family: Bacterial small subunit ribosomal RNA
Source: RNAcentral
UACAGAGGGUGCGAGCGUUAAUCGGAAUUACUGGGCGUAAAGCGCGCGUAGGCGGCUUUGCAAGUCGGGUGUGAAAUCCCCAGGCUUAACCUGGGAACUGCAUUCGAGACUGCAUUGCUAGAGUAUGGGAGAGGGAAGUGGAAUUUCCGGUGUAGCGGUGAAAUGCGUAGAGAUGUGGAGGAACACCAAUGGCGAAGGCAGCCUUCUGGGCCAACACUGACGCUCAUGCACGAAAGCGUGGGGAGCAAACAGG